Molecule: long non-coding RNA, 318 nt
Filed under: Homo sapiens (human)
Lineage: Eukaryota; Metazoa; Chordata; Mammalia; Primates; Hominidae
Description: non-protein coding lnc-RBPMS-2:1
Source: RNAcentral
CACAGAAAGUUCUCAGCUAGAGAGAUGGGGCAGCAGCAGGUGAGGGCCAGAGACGGCCCCUAAAGCUUGACUGGAUGCAAAGGCAGUACUAAAUCUAGCAGCCGAGAAUACAGGAAGGAAAUGUACAAACUUCUCUACUUUGAUGGUGCUUACAUUCCCGUGCAUGGAGCCAGACUGCAAACAAGUGCGUGGGACACUGUAGAAAUCGUCUAAUAUACAGCGUUUUGCCUCUUUAGCCUGUUGAUAUGAUGGAUUAUAUUCAUUGAUUUUCAAAUGUUGAACCAGCCUUGCAUAGCUGGGAUAAAUCCCACUUGGUUG